This is a non-coding RNA of Alligator sinensis (Chinese alligator), 478 nucleotides long. The record is from the annotation of a RefSeq genome assembly. Lineage: Eukaryota; Metazoa; Chordata; Crocodylia; Alligatoridae.
AUGACCAUGACACCAGCACUGGCUUUGCUCAUCCUUCUGGCAGCUCCCCUGGGUAUCCUGGCCCAGGUCACGCUGAAGGAGUCUGGCCCAGGGGUCAUGAAGCCCGGAGAGACCCUCAGCCUGACCUGCACCGUGUCUGGAUUCUCUCUCACUAGCUAUGGUGUGAACUGGGUUCGGCAGGCAGCAGGGAAAGGGCUGCAGUGGGUGGGAGUUAUCUGGGCUAGUGGAAGCAGCUACUAUAACAGCGCUCUCCAAAGCCGCCUCACCAUCACCAGAGACACGUCCAGCAGCCAAGGGCACCUGCACCUGACCGGGGUCCAACCUGUAGACACAGCCCGGUAUUACUGUGCUGGAGACACAGUGAAUGAAAAUGCAUGCGAGCCUGCACAAAAACCAGCCCUGCAGGACCGGCCUGCCUGCGUAUCAAUCAACAAAACCAAACAGCAAACCAUCAAACCCACCAGCCAAAACCACACAC